GGCCUUCAUGCACUAAGAGUGUGGAUAUUUCUCCUUAGACUUCAAUCACUACUGGAAAAGGAACCUCAAUCCACUAGAAGCUGCCAGCUCCAUUCAGACCUGAAUCUGCAAUGGAAACAAAAGGUGUCCCUACCCCAAAACUUUUGGAUUUGCGGGGGCUACAAUCAACCAAGAGAUGGCCUGGUUCCUGUGGAGCCAGGCGACGUACCAUCGUGCCCUGUACUGCCCGAGGUCUCUAGGCCUGGGCACUGCCGAGAGGAAAGGUGAAAUAAAAUCCUGUUCUGCACCUUGCUUUCCUCACCAUGCUUGACUCAUACCCACCAUAAGGAAAGAAAAAAAAUCUCAUGAUAUGCAAAGCAGACUUAAGAAACUUUAAUGUGAAGGACGGGGAAAUGAAAGUUACAUCAGAAAGAAUUAUGGAUCUUUAUUUUUAGGUUUUGUUUCCUAUUUGCUCAAUGUGUUAAAUUUUAACAGUAUAUUGAUAAUUUUAUUCAGUAUCUUUCUGAAGAUGAGUGUCUUUAUAUACGUGUUCUUGCUUCACCUUACAAGAAACCUCAAAUUCGUAUUUAUACAGGCAGCUCUGCAGUGAAACAUUUUGAGGGGCAUUAUGCUCUAUAUCAGUAUUGAGGCAUGCCAUUAAAUUACUUUAUAAAUUAAUUAAACACAAUGUGGAAGGGAAAUUGGUGGUGAGUUUGGUGAGUUUGAAGUGUGA
Peromyscus maniculatus bairdii (prairie deer mouse) is the source of this 712-nucleotide non-coding RNA. NCBI's taxonomy places the organism in Eukaryota, Metazoa, Chordata, Mammalia, Rodentia, Cricetidae. The record is from RefSeq and is a predicted model, not a curated record.